Acanthosepion pharaonis is the source of this 91-nucleotide non-coding RNA. Lineage: Eukaryota; Metazoa; Mollusca; Cephalopoda; Sepiida; Sepiidae. The record is from the annotation of a GenBank genome assembly.
UCUGGUUCUCGUAUAAUCACUGAAGUUAAGCAACAUAGAGCCUGUUCAGUACCUAAAUGGGUGAUCUUUAGGGAAUAACAGGUGCUGUAAG